This 588-nucleotide ribosomal RNA is filed under the name Bjerkandera adusta. Its description in RNAcentral is "eukaryotic LSU rRNA". The stretch from base 205 to 358 matches the Rfam family "5.8S ribosomal RNA". The record is from RNAcentral. Lineage: Eukaryota; Fungi; Basidiomycota; Agaricomycetes; Polyporales; Phanerochaetaceae.
AAGGAUCAUUAUCGAGUUUUGAACGGGUUGUCUGCUGGCUCGCAAGGGCAUGUGCACGCCUGUCUCAUCCACUCUCAACUUCUGUGCACUUUUCAUAGGCCGGCUUGUGGGUGCGUUCGCGCACUUGUAGGUGUCGGGCUUAUGCUUUACUACAAACGAUUCAGUUUUAGAAUGUCAUACUUUGCUAUAACGCAAUUUAUAUACAACUUUCAGCAACGGAUCUCUUGGCUCUCGCAUCGAUGAAGAACGCAGCGAAAUGCGAUAAGUAAUGUGAAUUGCAGAAUUCAGUGAAUCAUCGAAUCUUUGAACGCACCUUGCGCUCCUUGGUAUUCCGAGGAGCAUGCCUGUUUGAGUCUCAUGGAAUUCUCAACCUUCGGCUUCAUUGACGAAGGCUUGGACUUGGAGGUCGUGCCGGCUCUCGUAGUCGGCUCCUCUGAAAUGCAUUAGUGCGAACGUUACCAGCCGCUUCAGCGUGAUAAUUAUCUGCGUUGCUGCGGAGGGUAUUCUAGUGUUCACGCUUCUAACCGUCUUCGGACAAAUUUCUGAACUCUGAGCUCAAAUCAGGUAGGACUACCCGCUGAACUUAAG